UUUAAACUAAGAAGUGGUGUUUAAACUAAAGAGAAAAUAAAAAUGGUGUUUAUACCAAAGAGAAAAGUAAUAAGAGUGAUGUUUAAACCAAACAGUGUGAUGCAGAGAUGAGUAUUGUUGAUGUUGAUUGUUGAAAUGUAUAUGGGGAAGAAGACUUGAAAAUCACUUGAUUUGAAUUACACUAAAGUCUAUGAAUGGAGGUGAAAACUUUGAACAGCUAGAUCAAGCGUCUCGUAUCCAAAGG
This 244-nucleotide long non-coding RNA is filed under the name Lathyrus oleraceus (garden pea). RNAcentral's name for it is "Pisum sativum (pea) long non-coding RNA (PSAT_LNC003534)". The record is from RNAcentral. Lineage: Eukaryota; Viridiplantae; Streptophyta; Magnoliopsida; Fabales; Fabaceae.